Long non-coding RNA from Amphiprion ocellaris (clown anemonefish), 915 nucleotides. Lineage: Eukaryota; Metazoa; Chordata; Actinopteri; Pomacentridae. The record is from Ensembl.
AACACACACACACACACACACGGGGUAGGAGGCGCUGGCCGUAACAAAUAUUCAUGGAUGUUUCAGACCAGCUGAGGAAACUGCUUCAGUCACUGCCACUGAAAUGCACAUUCAUCAGAAGUCUGCUUCCUGUUUUUGUCUCUCAGCCUCCUACAUAAAGCUGUUUGCUUUUGAUUUCACUUCCAUUCCCUGUGACACAGAUGAGUUUCUACACUGAGAGCUCCAGUUCCACCGGCAGCAGAACAGCCCCAGUGCAUAAUACUGCCACCACCAUGCUUGAUGGUGAUGGCAGAGAGGCUCAGUGAAUGGAUAUGGCUUCAGAAGUUGCUGCAAGUACAAUGAAUCAGUGUGAGAAGAAAAAGGAGGCCGACACUGCCUCCAAAACCACAGAGAGCUUGAAACAUGACAGUGAGACAAAAGCUCAGAGCCCAAAACAGCAGCAGCAGAGACCAGACUGUCCUGAAGUCAGCUGUGUGUCCAUGAAGAGCGACUGGUCGAUGGGUCGCUUUGAGGACUUUAAAGCUGCCCAAUCUGAUGAUGGAAAACCUGAAAUUAACACCUCCCUCUGCCUGAAACAGCAGCAGCAGAGACCAGACUGUCCUGAAGCCAGCUGUGUGUCCAUGAAGAGCGACUGGUCGAAGGAUAGCCUUAAUGACUUCAACGCUGGCCAAUCUGAUGAUGGAGAACCAGGAAUUAAAAGGGUCUCGGGGGGAGCUGGAGUCUAUCCCAGCUGACUUGAGGCGAAGUCAGGGGACACCCUGGACACGUCACCAGUCUGUCGCAGGGCUACAUAUACAGACCAACAAUCACUUUCACAUUCACAUCUACGGGCAAUUUAGAAUAAUCAAUCAACCUCAGCAUAUAUUCGGACUGUGGGAGGAAGCUGGAGUACCCGGAGAAAACCCACACAUGCAC